AGGUGGUUUCUGCCCAUGGAUGCCCAGCCAAGGGAGAAAUGGGGGUGAAAUCAAGUCUACAUUUAGUUUACCAAGCUGUCUCCACCGCACCUUACUAAAAAGUGGUGCUUGUCUAUUUUGCACGAGGCUGCAAGUGGCCCUGGGCUUCACAUGAGAAAUCCCCUUCAUGGGGGUUUGGGCCAAUGUGGAUCUUCAAAAGUGGGUUAUCCAGACCCUGAGUCCAAUGGAAUGAUGUGAACACACCCUCUUUCAGCGCCCCAGCCCCAAGCUGCACUUCCCAAGAAAGGUUUUCUGCCUAUUAGCAUCAGAGAGAGAAACAAAAAGCUAUAUUUCAAUUUGUUUAUUGCUCUCAAGCAUCUGUUACUUUGCUAUGCUUUGCAGGGAAACUUGGCAUCUCAUAUUCAUAAACGGGCUGCUUUGGGUUUAAUUGUGCAACUAACUCGAGCUAUAAAACAGAAUCCACGGCUGCCUGGAGAGGGUUUUGAGAGAGAAGAAAAUGAGCCUCCAGAGCUACUUUGCUUAGAAGAUAAUCUGUGUGUUAACUGCACCCCCUGUAAGUGGUGCACAUUUACCUCUCAGUCUUGGGGUGUGCAGGAGUGAGCCGGGGUCCCCAUGCGUGAGCCUGGAGAGAAAGGCUGAUUUCUGACGGCCUGACCCUUGGAGACAGGCUGGGAAAACUGGCUGGGCCAGAUGGUCUGUCUGUAUCUCUGACUCCCAGUCUUCUGGCAACCAGUGACCAUCGGGCUGGGCGGUUGUGUGCAGGACCUUCUGCUUGGUGUUCCUCUAGGGGAAUGGUCCCCAUUUCAUCCUCAGUAGAGAAGCAUCUCUGGCAAAAAAAUCUAGCACAAACAUGGAAUCCAUAAUGAUGCAUGGUGAGGCAGGGAGUGAGAUUGGAAGGCAACAGCCCCAAGUUCAAAGUUCUGUCCAUCCAGUCGUCUUUGCUUCUCUUCAUUCUGUCUUCUGGGACUAUGGAUGGGAUUGACACCUGGAAGAUUCUCCUGUACUAUAGGCUUAAGGAAACAAGGUUAGGGGAGGGCUUUCCUCUUCCAAGCCAUCUCCCACAGACCCUGAAGUUAAAGAGGCAAAAACGAGGGGUUGGGGUGGUGGUGGUAAGUCACAUGAAAGUGAAAAACGCAAGGCUGAAGAUCUACCUGACAAAAAAAGACGAUGGUCAAGGUCGAUGUCUAGAUGAGAUCGGAGCCUGCCUAACUUUUCACAGCGGAUACAGCUGACAGUAGAUGUAUUUUUUCCUCCAUUUCGCAGAUGGGAAAACUGAGACGAGAGAAGUUACCCAAGGACAUCCAGCUCAAAAGUGGCAAAGUAGAGGUUGAACCCAGGAGCCUGUGGGCUUCCCUAGACCCUGCACCAGAAGGUGAUGGUUCGGGACCUGUCCCAGGGCUCAGGGAGAAGACACAGGGUCCGAAGCUCCUUCUGUGACAGAGUCCUGUGACUGUGGCUGUGCAGAGUCCUGCCGACACCUGCAUCCUUGUGGACCAGGCUUCUGCCCUUCCUUCUGUCUCGGCAGGAGCUCCGGUUUGGAGUCCAAUGAACCUGGGUUUGAAACUCAGCCCAACCUCUAACUAGUGUGAUCUUAGGCAAGUUACUGAACCUCGCUGUUCCUUGGGUUUCUUAUCUACAAAACAGAGACGAUCGUAAUAACAUUUCGCAGGGUUGUUGCAAGGAUUGAGACGAUCAAAUGAGAUAAGUUAGAUUGUGUAAAGCCCUUAGAAUGGCCCUGAGACAUAAUUCCAGUGUUAGAUGUCAUAAUUAACAUUUAUACAGUGGAAUUUGGGCCAAGUGUAGCUCAGCUUUCUUUCUUGACCACGUCUUUUCCCUUUUCCUCUGUUGCUGGGACUUGCCUUUCGCAGAGAAAUGAUGGAGCCCUUAUUCCCACCUGGGGCAGGACCCACCUGUCCUGGUUUUUAGAGACACCUGCAAACAAGCACAGGUGCUGAGAACACCCAACGGAAGAGCAAUCGCACCUCCAGCUUCUGCUGCCUCCACAACAGGCAGCGCCAAAGGCAGUGACAUGAGGACCGGGAGCGACUGUGUUAAAACUGAAGUCACGAUGUUGGGAUCUUGAGGGCUGAAGGUUCCAAAGGAAUGGUGUAUAUGUAAUUCUAUCUGACUUGAGAGUUCUCCCUUCCUGGAGCUCCGGAUGUGAUAAAAAGUUUACUUUCUAAAGCAUUUAAGUCAAAAACCCAAGUACCUGAUACAAAGAAAAUCACCAAGGGGCUACGUGAAUGACAAGUUUAAGAAGUGGUCACGUAUACAACGAAUUCUGACUAUCGCUUAGACCUUUCUAGAUCCAGUACUUGCUGCGAUCCUUAGACACUCUUCUUCGUGCAUCCUGGACUGCUUUGAAAAUACAGGAGUAUUUAAGUUUCCCCCAGCAGUUAGUACAUGUUUACACAUCUCUGCACAGAAUGCGCUUCCCAGCCUUGUCUUCUGGGUGGACUCCUGCUCACCCUUCCGACGCCGGCAUCCACAUCUCUUCCGCUGAGAAGCCCUCGUUAUCCCUCCAUGCAAGAAACAGCUCAUCCUCUGCGUCUCUCGGCUGCCUGAAUACCUUGCACAUGCCUGCAUUGUGCACUCAUUACACAGCCCUGUGUUACUUGUUCAAAUAAGCAACGCUCGAGGGCAGACACUGCCUUCUUCCCCUUCAUCCCUUCCAUGCCUAGCACAGUGCCGGCACACACCAGAUGCCAAGUAAACGCAGAGCAAAACACUGUCUUACGUACAAUCUAUAGGACGAUCCGAGUGCCUGGUAUUUUGGGGUUAGCGGGAGGGCUGGGAUAAAAUCUAAGCUGAUAGUGGCCUGCGCCCUCCUCGGGGUAGGUUAUGACCCUACAACUCUCUUGGAUUUUCAGACCCUGUCCUCUGUCCAAGUGAGAAUCUCUCGGGCCAGCACAGAAGGACAUGCACCCUUCACCAUACUUGGAGUUGGCCAGUCAGGGAAAAUUCACUUCCUUGACCACUUAUAAUCAUGUAAAAAGCCUUCAGCUAGAAUAAUGCUCUUGGUCUUUCCCCUCACCUUUUCUAUCCUCACAUUGACUUAACUGGUUGGCAGAUUUGGGAGAAGAAGUCACCAGGAUGCUGUGAUCAGCAGCCCUCCUUCUCAAGCCUGCUAGGACCAGCCAGUCUCAAGCAAAGGUAUUCCUGUCCUCUGGGCCAUCAGUGCAGAGCAGUGGGCUCUGUGGGGGACACCUGCUGUCACCUGGCUCUGCUGGUACCAGUGACUCUGACCCAGCAGCACCUUUCAGCUGCAGAACUAGAGUCACAUCCUCUGACCACCUUCACUGGUGACAGAGCUGACAUUUUGAUUGCCAUGUGUUUGACUUUUGACUCAAUUGGCUCUGAACUUGGGAAGGGAAGAAAAGAAUGAAUUACGUCAUUGAUUCAAUUGCAAUGGUCAAUUGCAUUGAUUCAGUGCAAUGGUCAUGCACCAUUUAAUGGUAGGGAUAUGUUCUGAGAAAUGCAUCAUUAGGCGAGUCCGCCAUUGCGUGAACAUCAUAGUGCACUUAUAUAUACUGAUCUUGUACAGCCUACUACAGUGUGGUACAACCUGUUGCUCCCAGGCCACAAGCCUGUACAGCAUGUGACUGUACCAAAUGCUGCAGGCAACUGUAACACAAUGGGAAAUGCUUGUGCAUCUGAACGUAUCUAAAUAUAGAAAAAGGACAGUAUAAGGGCAACAUACAGAUAAAAAAACAAUACACCUGUGUAGGGCUCUCACUGUGAACGGAGCUGGCAGGACUGAAAGAUGCUCUGGGUGAUCAGUGAGAGAGUGGUCAGUGAAUUCACACCUACCACCUAGGACAUUACCGUCCACUGCUGUAGACAUAUCAUAAGCACUUACACUUAGGCUACACUAAAUUUAUAAAACAAUGUUUUUCUUUUGUCAAUAAUACAUUAAACUUACCUUACUGCAAUUCUUUCUACUUUGUAAACUUUUUACAUUUUUUUAAAAACUUUUUGACUUUUUUUUGUAGUAACACUUAGCUUAAAGCACAAACCCAUGGUACAACCAUAGAAAAAUAUCUUCUUUCUUCAUAU
Non-coding RNA from Microcebus murinus (gray mouse lemur), 4056 nucleotides. The record is from RefSeq and is a predicted model, not a curated record. NCBI's taxonomy places the organism in Eukaryota, Metazoa, Chordata, Mammalia, Primates, Cheirogaleidae.